GAAGGGUGCAAGCGUUACUCGGAAUUACUGGGCGUAAAGCGUGCGUAGGUGGUCGUUUAAGUCCGUUGUGAAAGCCCUGGGCUCAACCUGGGAACUGCAGUGGAUACUGGGCGACUAGAAUGUGGUAGAGGGUAGCGGAAUUCCUGGUGUAGCAGUGAAAUGCGUAGAGAUCAGGAGGAACAUCCAUGGCGAAGGCAGCUACCUGGACCAACAUUGACACUGAGGCACGAAAGCGUGGGGAGCAAACAGGAUUAGAUACCCUGGUAGUCCACGCCCUAAACGAUGCGAACUGGAUGUUGGGUGCAAUUUGGCACGCAGUAUCGAAGCUAACGCGUUAAGUUCGCCGCCUGGGGAGUACGGUCGCAAGACUGAAACUCAAAGGAAUUGACGGGGGCCCGCACAAGCGGUGGAGUAUGUGGUUUAAUUCGAUGCAACGCGAAGAAC
This 444-nucleotide ribosomal RNA is filed under the name Stenotrophomonas sp. B19(2011). RNAcentral's name for it is "bacterial SSU rRNA". It matches the Rfam family "Bacterial small subunit ribosomal RNA", at positions 527 to 969 of the family's 1533-position model. The record is from RNAcentral. Lineage: Bacteria; Pseudomonadati; Pseudomonadota; Gammaproteobacteria; Lysobacterales; Lysobacteraceae.